AACGCCGCGUGAGUGAAGAAGGUUUUCGGAUCGUAAAGCUCUGUUGUAAGUCAAGAACGUGUGUGAGAGUGGAAAGUUCACACAGUGACGGUAGCUUACCAGAAAGGGACGGCUAACUACGUGCCAGCAGCCGCGGUAAUACGUAGGUCCCGAGCGUUGUCCGGAUUUAUUGGGCGUAAAGGGAGCGCAGGCGGUCAGGAAAGUCUGGAGUAAAAGGCUAUGGCUCAACCAUAGUGUGCUCUGGAAACUGUCUGACUUGAGUGCAGAAGGGGAGAGUGGAAUUCCAUGUGUAGCGGUGAAAUGCGUAGAUAUAUGGAGGAACACCAGUGGCGAAAGCGGCUCUCUGGUCUGUCACUGACGCUGAGGCUCGAAAGCGUGGGUAGCGAACAGGAUUAGAUACCCUGGUAGUCCACGCCGUAAACGAUGAGUGCUAGGUGUUAGGCCCUUUCCGGGGCUUAGUGCCGGAGCUAACGCAAUAAGCACUCCGCCUGGGGAGUACGACCGCAAGGUUGAAACUCAAAGGAAUUGACGGGGGCCCGCACAAGCGGUGGAGCAUGUGGUUUAAUUCGAAGCAACGCGAAGAACCUUACCAGGUCUUGACAUCCCGAUGCUAUUCUUAGAGAUAGGAAGUUACUUCGGUACAUCGGAGACAGGUGGUGCAUGG
This 664-nucleotide ribosomal RNA is filed under the name Streptococcus mutans. Its description in RNAcentral is "bacterial SSU rRNA". It matches the Rfam family "Bacterial small subunit ribosomal RNA", at positions 393 to 1048 of the family's 1533-position model. Lineage: Bacteria; Bacillati; Bacillota; Bacilli; Lactobacillales; Streptococcaceae. The record is from RNAcentral.